UACAGAAGAACCAAUCGUUAUUUGUGGAGAUUGACUUGAAGGACAAAGUGGAAGAAGAGAAAACUGAAGAUAUUUCAACAGAAGAGAAACUACUUGAAAAAGAAGAGGAACCUCUCACAGCUGUGUCCCCAACCAGCUGGCUGUGUUGCCUUCCCAUCUGGAUGAAGCAGACGAAGCAAAAAGAAAAAACGGAGUAGUCACAGAAAAGG
Molecule: long non-coding RNA, 209 nt
Organism: Heteronotia binoei (common prickly gecko)
Lineage: Eukaryota; Metazoa; Chordata; Lepidosauria; Squamata; Gekkonidae
Exons: 3
Source: RefSeq, a predicted model, not a curated record